UACGGAGGGUGCAAACGUUGCUCGGAAUUAUUGGGCGUAAAGCGCGUGUAGGCGGCAUAGCAAGUCGGGCGUGAAAGCCCUGGUCUCAACCCAGGAAGUGCGUUCGAUACUGCUAAGCUAGAGUGCGGGAGAGGGUAGCGGAAUUCCCGGUGUAGAGGUGAAAUUCGUAGAUAUCGGGAGGAACACCAGUGGCGAAGGCGGCUACCUGGACCGACACUGACGCUGAGACGCGAAAGCGUGGGGAGCAAACAGG
This 253-nucleotide ribosomal RNA is filed under the name uncultured bacterium. Its description in RNAcentral is "partial 16S ribosomal RNA". It matches the Rfam family "Bacterial small subunit ribosomal RNA", at positions 524 to 776 of the family's 1533-position model. The record is from RNAcentral.